UGGGGAAUUUUGGACAAUGGGCGCAAGCCUGAUCCAGCCAUGCCGCGUGCGGGAAGAAGGCCUUCGGGUUGUAAACCGCUUUUGUCAGGGAAGAAAUCUUCUGAGUUAAUACCUCGGGAGGAUGACGGUACCUGAAGAAUAAGCACCGGCUAACUACGUGCCAGCAGCCGCGGUAAUACGUAGGGUGCAAGCGUUAAUCGGAAUUACUGGGCGUAAAGCGUGCGCAGGCGGUUUUGUAAGACAGAGGUGAAAUCCCCGGGCUCAACCUGGGAACUGCCUUUGUGACUGCAAGGCUUGAGUGCGGCAGAGGGGGAUGGAAUUCCGCGUGUAGCAGUGAAAUGCGUAGAUAUGCGGAGGAACACCGAUGGCGAAGGCAAUCCCCUGGGCCUGCACUGACGCUCAUGCACGAAAGCGUGGGGAGCAAACAGGAUUAGAUACCCCUGGUAGUCCACGCCCUAAACGAUGUCAACUGGUUGUUGGGAAGGUUCCUUCUCAGUAACGUAGCUAACGCGUGAAGUUGACCGCCUGGGGAGUACGGCCGCAAGGUUGAAACUCAAAUGAAUUGACGGGG
This 571-nucleotide ribosomal RNA is filed under the name uncultured bacterium. RNAcentral describes it as "partial 16S ribosomal RNA". It matches the Rfam family "Bacterial small subunit ribosomal RNA", at positions 355 to 918 of the family's 1533-position model. The record is from RNAcentral.